This 70-nucleotide transfer RNA is filed under the name Sympetrum speciosum. Its description in RNAcentral is "tRNA-Val". The record is from RNAcentral. Lineage: Eukaryota; Metazoa; Arthropoda; Insecta; Odonata; Libellulidae.
CAUAAAUGUAAGUUUAUCUUACAGAUAGUACUUGCAGUUUAAUGAUAUAAUUUUGUUAUUAUUGGAAGGA